GGGCCCGCACAAGCAGUGGAGCAUGUGGUUUAAUUCGAUGCAACGCGAAGAACCUUACCAGGCCUUGACAUCCUCGGAACUUUCUAGAGAUAGAUUGGUGCCUUCGGGAACCGAGUGACAGGUGCUGCAUGGCUGUCGUCAGCUCGUGUUGUGAAAUGUUGGGGUUAAGUCCCGCAACGAGCGCAACCCUUAUCCUUGUUUGCCAGCGAGUAAUGUCGGGAACUCCAGGGAGACUGCCGGUGAUAAACCGGAGGAAGGUGGGGACGACGUCAAGUCAUCAUGCCCCUUACAUCCUGGGCUACACACGUACUACAAUGCUACGGACAAAGAGCAGCAAGUUCGCGAGGACAAG
This 352-nucleotide ribosomal RNA is filed under the name uncultured bacterium. Its description in RNAcentral is "bacterial SSU rRNA". It matches the Rfam family "Bacterial small subunit ribosomal RNA", at positions 917 to 1267 of the family's 1533-position model. The record is from RNAcentral.